ACCUGAAGAGGCGGAGGGACAAAGAAACCCGCCACGCGAAUCUGCCGAGUCUCCCGCCGCAAGCCCAAAAGUAGCCAAUCACGGGCGCGAAGCUCAGUGACGUCAUCGGCUGCUGAGCAGAGUCCCGAGCGGCGGCGCGUCCCGGGCCGGGAGUCGCGGGAACUUGGCGCGCGGGGAGGGAGGGGCCGGCGCUGCGCCCCGGUGCUAGGUCGGGUCGGGGGGUGCGGGCCGGGGGUGCGAGACCAGGCAAAGAAGUGGGCCUGAAGAAAGGGGACGGGACGAGGGGGGAAUUGUGGACUCCGAAGGAACUGGAGAAGGGACAGGUUGAGGGGAAGAGCGAGGGAGGGGAGGGAGGGGAUGGCGGGGGUGGGCGAGGCGGAGGAAGAGGGUUAGGGCCCGAGAGAGCGCCUCAAAGGGUCACCGGCCUCCCCUGGUCCUCACACACAUUCUCCAGGAGAUUGGAGAAAACACUCUCUUCCCCAAGAGGAGAAGCACAUUGCCCAAAUGGGGAGGGAGAGGAGAGACAGCAAAAGCCCGGAACCCCUGCAGAGAAAUAGUCAGCAAAGGGGACGGGAAAGUGCUGGUGAAGGGAGGCAAGAAGGCUGAGGCUGCCAGGAGAGGCGGCCGGUGCUAGCACAAGGGCUCUCAGACCCCGCAGUGCCCCCCACCCACGGGGAGGCCAGGCACUGGCCCUGCUGCUUUCUGUGGACUUCAAGGCUGGAGGCAACCUGACGCUGGACCCAGGACCCACAGUGUUGAGAAAAGCUUUGGCGGAGCCGGCGGGUGGAUCUCCACUCCAGAUUUUCCAGCUGUCCCUGCCCCCCCACCGCUCGGGAGCAGGAUGCCGAGAUGGCUGGUGAUGCAGAAGGAGAAUCACUGGCACACAGGGACCGGGGUGCCAGGCCAUGGGUUCUGGGACCAUGGUGGUUCCCUCCUUCUCCGAGAACACGAAAAGGCAGACUGACCCACAUGUCCACGAGGAAAUGUCCUGCUGUCCACUAAGGAAAGGUGCCUGGCUGUGAAGUGAGGAAAGGAAUGGGCCCGAACGGUCAGUCCCUGUCCAGCGCACCCAGGGCGGCUGUGGGCCAUCAGCUGGGGCUGACGCCGACUUGUGCUGCCCCAGGAGAGAGGAUGGACUGAACUUUCCAGCUGGUGGAGUCCUUCAGAGAGUGGACGCUUCCCCUGUGUCUUAGCUGGGAGCUGCAUCUCGGCCAGGUUUGAUAGAACACCUUUAACAGUGCAGCUCUAGGAGCCUCUCAUUAACACACAGUUCCAGAAGGUUCCAGGACGGCGGGUCCCAGCUCUGGUUGUAGAAGCUCUGCUUUCACUGAACGUAGAUGAUGGCUGGAGCUGUCCCUUCUCAGGUGUGUGUGCCUGAGAUAAAGCCGCCCCCCCCACCAGAGGCAGAGCCUGGGAUGAGAUGGCACUUGGCAGUGGGGCACGUGGGUCUGCCUUGGGCUUCAGGACAGGACAGCGUACCCAGAGCAGCAUUAGUGUCCUUGGUGCGCACAGUUCCAGCUGGAGGGGUUCCACGGAGAGCAGCCACAACGAUCCAGUUUCUGCCCCGCAGAGCUUGCGUUUCGGCGGGUAGGACGGACAGACGCGGGCCUCAUGCGUCCGUACGGCGACGGCGAUAGCGCGGGUAUUGCCGAGAGCGGAGGCGUCCGAGCAGCGGCUUCUCUCCUUCGGUUACGUGGCUUCGUGCUUCGAAGGCAUCGGCUCUCGUAAUACCGCGUGGAUUGUGCGCUCUCGGCCUUGGACAGGUUAAGAGACGGGCCCACGGGCCCACGGGGUCGGGCAGGGCUUUGACCCCGCAGCGUGGUCCAGAGCCCCGUGUGCUUCUUUGCACAGGCUCGCCCGUUGAGAAGUCCUGGGUGUGAAGGGAACGAACCAUAGGAGCCGCAACCCGGACUCAGGCCGCAGGACUUGAAAACACUUUUGGAGAAAGUGAACUGUUUAGAAGUGGGAAUUCGUGCAGUGCGGGAGGGUGAAGGGCCGGGCGUGCCGAGUGGCCUGGAGCUUAGCGUGCCCCGUCCGAGGGAUAUGGGGAAAGGCCUGACCACAGGGCACCGAGGUAAGGCGGCGACCACACACCACCAGCCAGGGGCCCGUGCACGUGCGGAAGACGCACUGAGAACACACGCAAACAUGUAUAUGGUCCAGGAGCCGGGAAGGCUUUAGGACCUGCUGCUCGCCGGCCGACCACUGCCUUGCCCGCUGUCCGUCACCGUCCCUCCCCUGCUCUCCGUUGGUACGUUGUGAGGCAGCCUCCACAGAGCAGACCAGAUGAAACCAUGGCAGGAGGGGUGACAUUCGGAGGAAAUGAACAAUUCUCCAGUGACUCUAACCUGGAAGGAUUUGCUAGGCCUGAACCACAUCCUUCCUGAAACUCCGGCGUUCCGGGACUCCCCCGGCUCCCGCGCCUUCUCCCUCCGCUCCGGCGUUUCUCUGGAGGUCCCCCUUGCUGACUCCUCCUCUUCGUCCCAACUGCAAGCUGGCCCAGCUCCAGGGGCUCGCAGGCCUGCCCUCUCUCAUUCGGAGAGCCCCAUCUGCUGCUCUCACCGGUUCUAUACCAUCAAUUACCACCUGGAUUCUGAAGCCGCCCACGUCAUUACCUGGAGUCCCGACCCUUCAUCUCAGCUCCAGGCUCGGAUACAGUGAGGCAGCUCCAUGUGCACACGUCACAGGGCCCUUAAACCCGAGGCUUCGCUUCCAGCGCUGAAGCCGCUUGCUCCCCGAUCCCCAGGGACUCUGCAAUGAGUCCGCCCCUUUCUCUGCAAUGACCCCAUCAUUCACCCGCUUUCCUGAGCCAGAAACCUGAGACUGAUUCUUGACUCCUAUCUCUUUGUGCUUAUAGCAGACACAUGUCGUGUGUAUGGGUGGCUAACGUCUUUUAAAUAAUUCACAUACAGAAGUUCACCUCCGCAUUCAGAAGUCAAACUCUCCAUCCACCGGCAGCCCAGAAGCACACUCACGGGCGCAGGCUUGCCCGUUCCUUCCUUCCCAGCGAGGCUGGACCUGGAGGUCAUCCCCCAUGAGAACCAGGCUUCACAUGGGGCUUCCGGCUUGCUGAUGCGCCCAGCUUGUAGGGGACAGCAGCGAUUACAAGGUCGAAUCCCUGCUCUGGAGGUGGCAUUAGGACGACAAGUUUCGGGUUAAAGGGCCGCAGGUCUGGCCAUCCUGUGUGGAGCCGCGGAAGUAGUGUGCUUGUUUACUCUGCUUUGCUGGCUGGUUCGGGGCAUCCUGGCAGGUCGGGGGUGGGUGAGAUGAUGGGCGCAGGGUGGUGGGCUUCUCUGAGUUUGGGCUUGACCAUCAGGCAUCCCCAUGAUCGGAGAGGUUAAUCGUCUCUAAUGAUGCUGCUUUGUAUAUGUGCAUUAAAUCAUCACAUUGUACACCUUGAAAAAAAUCACAUUGUGCAAAAAAAAAUUUCUUUUAAUAAAAUAAAAAUUGGUCAGAGUAGAUCCGUGGUUUGCAGUAGAAUCUUUGGCCGUUCGAGACGUUUGCUUCCCGUCUGGUGGAGAGUGGAGCUGAGCACCGGCUGCAUGAGGGGCCUGGGGCAUCAGCUCGAAAGGGUGGAUUUACUUCUGUUUUGCUGUCACUUUAAGCUGUGUCUCGGCGACCCUGUUGUCCCUCUUAAGCUUUAGCCUCCCUGGCAGUUUCCCGGCUGAUUUGUGACA
Ailuropoda melanoleuca (giant panda) is the source of this 3677-nucleotide long non-coding RNA. RefSeq lists it as uncharacterized. Lineage: Eukaryota; Metazoa; Chordata; Mammalia; Carnivora; Ursidae. The record is from RefSeq and is a predicted model, not a curated record. The transcript is spliced from 7 exons.